This 381-nucleotide ribosomal RNA is filed under the name uncultured Prochlorococcus sp. RNAcentral describes it as "bacterial SSU rRNA". It matches the Rfam family "Bacterial small subunit ribosomal RNA", at positions 379 to 775 of the family's 1533-position model. The record is from RNAcentral. Lineage: Bacteria; Bacillati; Cyanobacteriota; Cyanophyceae; Synechococcales; Prochlorococcaceae.
AAGCCUGACGGAGUAACGCCGCGUGAGGGACGAAGGCCUCUGGGCUGUAAACCUCUUUUCUCAAGGAAGAAGAUAUGACGGUACUUGAGGAAUAAGCCACGGCUAAUUCCGUGCCAGCAGCCGCGGUAAUACGGGAGUGGCAAGCGUUAUCCGGAAUUAUUGGGCGUAAAGCGUCCGCAGGCGGCCUUUCAAGUCUGCUGUUAAAGCGUGGAGCUUAACUCCAUUAUGGCAGUGGAAACUGAUCGGCUUGAGUAUGGUAGGGGCAGAGGGAAUUCCCGGUGUAGCGGUGAAAUGCGUAGAUAUCGGGAAGAACACCAGUGGCGAAGGCGCUCUGCUGGGCCAUUACUGACGCUCAUGGACAAGAGCCAGGGGAGCGAAAGG